Molecule: ribosomal RNA, 452 nt
Filed under: uncultured Sphingobacteriales bacterium
Lineage: Bacteria; Pseudomonadati; Bacteroidota; Sphingobacteriia; Sphingobacteriales
Description: bacterial SSU rRNA
Rfam family: Bacterial small subunit ribosomal RNA
Source: RNAcentral
CGGGGUGCAGCAGUAAGGAAUAUUGGUCAAUGGAGGCAACUCUGAACCAGCCAUGCCGCGUGCAGGAAGAAGGCCCUAUGGGUCGUAAACUGCUUUUGUACCAGAGAAAACCACAGUACGUGUACUGUGUUGAUAGUAUGGUAAGAAUAAGCAUCGGCUAACUUCGUGCCAGCAGCCGCGGUAAGACGAAGGAUGCAAGCGUUAUCCGGAUUCAUUGGGUUUAAAGGGUGCGUAGGCGGACUGAUAAGUCAGUGGUGAAAUCUCUCGGCUUAACCGAGAAACUGCCAUUGAUACUGUUAGUCUAGAGUAUAGAUGACGUUGGCGGAAUAUGACAUGUAGUGGUGAAAUACUUAGAUAUGUCAUAGAACACCGAUUGCGAAGGCAGCUAACGAAACUAUAACUGACGCUGAGGCACGAAAGUGCGGGGAUCAAACAGGAUUAGAUACCCUAGU